This 686-nucleotide small RNA is filed under the name Xanthomonas vasicola pv. musacearum. RNAcentral describes it as "bacterial LSU rRNA". The stretch from base 239 to 686 matches the Rfam family "Bacterial large subunit ribosomal RNA", at positions 1 to 502 of the family's 2925-position model. The record is from RNAcentral. Lineage: Bacteria; Pseudomonadati; Pseudomonadota; Gammaproteobacteria; Lysobacterales; Lysobacteraceae.
AGACCCACCACUCUGAAUGUAGUGCACACUUAAGAAUUUAUAUGGAUCAGCGUUGAGGCUGAGACAUGUUCUUUUAUAACUUGUGACGUAGCGAGCGUUUGAGAUAUCUAUCUAAACGUGUCGUUGAGGCUAAGGCGGGGACUUCGAGUCCCUAAAUAAUUGAGUCGUAUGUUCGCGUUGGUGGCUUUGUACCCCACACAACACGUACAUGUAACUCCGAGGCAACUUGGGGUUAUAUGGUCAAGCGAAUAAGCGCACACGGUGGAUGCCUAGGCGGUCAGAGGCGAUGAAGGACGUGGUAGCCUGCGAAAAGUGUCGGGGAGCUGGCAACAAGCUUUGAUCCGGCAAUAUCCGAAUGGGGAAACCCACUGCUUCGGCAGUAUCCUGCAGUGAAUUCAUAGCUGCUGGAAGCGAACCCGGUGAACUGAAAUAUCUAAGUAACCGGAGGAAAAGAAAUCAACCGAGAUUCCCUAAGUAGUGACGAGCGAACGGGGAGCAGCCCUUAAGCUGGAAUGGCUUUAGAAAAACAAUCUGGAAAGAUUGGCCAUAGAAGGUGAUAGCCCUGUAUUUAAAAGGGCCACUCCAGUGAAGACGAGUAGGGCGGGGCACGUGAAACCCUGUCUGAAUAUGGGGGGACCAUCCUCCAAGGCUAAAUACUCCUGACCGACCGAUAGUGAACCAGUACC